GUACAGUGUCUAUAUAUAUUGGAUUUGGGACGUUCCAGUUGGAUCCCAUUUAUUUCUUGGGGAACUCUGCCACUAUGAAUCUGAAUGAUUCUUCAAGCAAGAGAUGGUGCAAUGUUUCUUUGCCUCCCCUCAUUUCAGAGCCAGGUGUUGAAAUGAAAUGAAAAAUUGCUUCAUUCCAAAUUCAAAGAAUAUAUUUUUCUGAAAGUUGUGCCUGAGGCAGAAAAGUAGUGUAUCCAUUUCUGAGAAGGGAUAUUUUAAUCUCCUGAAUCAUGACUCUUUGGCCACAUUCUCUGUUUACUGUCUCAUUCGGCCUGUGACUUCAUAAAGAGAAAGGGUCACUUUCUCAGGAAGAUGUCCACAUUGUGGAAACUGAGGCCCACAAUGAUCACAGGAUCUACCCCAAGUCACCUGGUUUGUUGAUGGCAAACAGGUCUUAGACUCCUUGUCUUGACUCCAGCCCUGUGUGUGUUCUUUCUAACUUACAGUUCCAACCUCUGUUUUCAAGUAAAAACCUGCAAUACAGUGAGAAGUAA
Herpailurus yagouaroundi (jaguarundi) is the source of this 533-nucleotide long non-coding RNA. RefSeq lists it as uncharacterized. The record is from RefSeq and is a predicted model, not a curated record. The transcript has 2 exons. Lineage: Eukaryota; Metazoa; Chordata; Mammalia; Carnivora; Felidae.